AUGAACGCUGGCGGCGUGCCUAAUACAUGCAAGUCGAGCGAACAGACGAGGAGCUUGCUCCUCUGACGUUAGCGGCGGACGGGUGAGUAACACGUGGAUAACCUACCUAUAAGACUGGGAUAACUUCGGGAAACCGGAGCUAAUACCGGAUAAUAUAUUGAACCGCAUGGUUCAAUAGUGAAAGACGGCUUUGCUGUCACUUAUAGAUGGAUCCGCGCCGCAUUAGCUAGUUGGUAAGGUAACGGCUUACCAAGGCAACGAUGCGUAGCCGACCUGAGAGGGUGAUCGGCCACACUGGAACUGAGACACGGUCCAGACUCCUACGGGAGGCAGCAGUAGGGAAUCUUCCGCAAUGGGCGAAAGCUUGACGGAGCAACGCCGCGUGAGUGAUGAAGGUCUUCGGAUCGUAAAACUCUGUUAUUAGGGAAGAACAAAUGUGUAAGUAACUAUGCACGUCUUGACGGUACCUAAUCAGAAAGCCACGGCUAACUACGUG
Molecule: ribosomal RNA, 496 nt
Filed under: uncultured bacterium
Lineage: Bacteria
Description: partial 16S ribosomal RNA
Rfam family: Bacterial small subunit ribosomal RNA
Source: RNAcentral